GUGGAGUGGAGUGGAGUGGAGUGGACUGGAGUGGACUGGAGUGGGGGUUCCGGUCCCGUGGUGGAGAAGCGGAAGAAGACAGUGAGGUUUCCCAGUGAUCCGGAAGAAACCGAAGGUGAUUCCUCCGCGUGACUGCUCCCUCGGGAAUCCC
RNAcentral lists this microRNA precursor (151 nucleotides) under Lepisosteus oculatus (spotted gar). Its description in RNAcentral is "miRNA (ENSLOCG00000019149.1)". The record is from RNAcentral. Lineage: Eukaryota; Metazoa; Chordata; Actinopteri; Semionotiformes; Lepisosteidae.